Orcinus orca (killer whale) is the source of this 1414-nucleotide RNA transcript. RefSeq lists it as uncharacterized. NCBI's taxonomy places the organism in Eukaryota, Metazoa, Chordata, Mammalia, Artiodactyla, Delphinidae. The transcript is spliced from 3 exons. The record is from RefSeq and is a predicted model, not a curated record.
AGAGAGCGACAGCCCCCUCCAGCGUCCGCGCCCGCGACCUGCGCGCCGGCGCGCCCCGCCCCGCUCCGCCCCGCCCCGGGGGCAGGUGCGCCGAGAGGCCGCCCGCCCGAGCGCCCCUACCCGGCCGGGCGAGCCCACCUCCGAUCCGCGCUUUACUUGGUCCUACGGCUGCAGCCGGUCUCUCCGCUCGGCGCCGCAGGGCCGAGCGCAGGAAGCUCCGCGGAGUGCGCUGCGCCACCAGGGACGCGCCAGUCCAGCCUCUGUGGUUGAAAGCGAGCUAAGGCAGCGGGAGACGAGCGCACGGGCAACACCAGGAGCAGCUGGCGGAGGAUCGGUGGCGCGGACUCUGCAGGCCGCUGUUGAGCCCCUGCUCUUGCCCUUUCUCCUCCUCGCUGUGGAUGGGCCCGCUGCACGUGGAGGGAAAAGGACGCGCGGCAGGAGAUUAGAAACGGAAGCGACCCUCUGCUAGAUGCCGAGGCUACUGGGCACCCGCCCCUGACGGCCGCUGACCCCAGAACCCUGGUCGUUUUGCGCCUUAGAGAAGUUUUCGAUCUCCAGCCUGGAGGCAGGUUUCUUGGGAGAGGCCACGACUGAACUCAAAGAGGAGCAGGACAGGGGCCCCCGUGGGACAGUGGGUCCACACGAGAACACGGUGCCUGAGAAGGACGGGGGCACCUGUGCGUAGCUAGUUUACCACCCCCUCCCCCCAAACACACCACCACCACCGCGUUUCUGGGUCGGAGAAGUCUCUCUGUUUGGGGCAGUGCUGAUCUCUGGACAUGAGGCUAUGAGCUGUCAGUUAGAUGAGGACCACUACAAGCAAGAGGCUGCACAGUGAUGCUCCAGCUGCCGGUCCCAGAUCUUUCACCAUCUCAGACCAGGAACCAGGAAGUGAGUAAAGAAGUGUUUUGGAGAGGGUUCUCCAGCCCUAUCCCGUUCCUCAGCGAUGCUGGCCACCCCCUGCCUUUUCAGUCCUGCCAGCUAAGGACACCAUGAAGCAAAGAAGAGCCACCUCUGUUGUGCCCUUUCCAAAUUUCUGAUCCACAAAAUCCAUGAUAAAAUUAUUUUAUGUUGUUAAAGUUUGCAUGGCUUUCUAUGAAGCGAAAGACAACCAGGAUACCCACUAACCAACUGUGCUUGAGAACGCUUACUUCUUACACUUGUUUUUUAAAUAAAUAAAUUUAUUUAUUUGGGCUGCGUUGGGUCUUCGUUGCUGUGCACAGGCUUUUCUCUAGUUGCAGUGAGCAGGGGCUACUCUUCGUUGUGGUGCGUGGGCUUCUCGUUGCGGUGGCUUCUCUUGUUACGGAACACGGGCUCUAGGCGCGCAGGCUUCAGUAGUUGUGGCACGUAGGUUCAGUAGUUGUGGCUUGCGGGCUCAGUAGUUGUGGCUCGUGGGCUCUAGAGCACAGGCUCA